GGCCCCAUGGUCAAGCGGUUAAGACAUCGCCCUUUCACGGCGGUAACCCGAGUUCGAGUCUCGGUGGGGUCACCA
This 75-nucleotide transfer RNA is filed under the name Candidatus Limadaptatus stercorigallinarum. RNAcentral's name for it is "tRNA-Glu". It matches the Rfam family "tRNA". From Rfam's summary of the family: Transfer RNA (tRNA) molecules are approximately 80 nucleotides in length. Lineage: Bacteria; Bacillati; Bacillota; Clostridia; Eubacteriales. The record is from RNAcentral. RNAcentral also lists the same sequence under 3 other names.